UUUAGUGGGUAGCCUAAUUCAAAUUGAGCCUGAAAUAAUUUGGAACGGAGGAACCAUCUUAAGGGGCGCAUCUUACAAACGAGUCGCCAACCCAGAGUAAAAAGCGAAAACUAUUAAUAGCUAACUCAGCACGUGCGAAACGCGCAGCUACCGCUAACAUAACUGGGAACUCAGCACUCAAAAGAGAGACACCUUCCAGUCUUAGCCCGUCAGCUAACUCCGUAGGCAAUGGAAGGAACC
RNAcentral lists this small RNA (240 nucleotides) under Nostoc sp. RNAcentral describes it as "c-di-AMP sequence". It matches the Rfam family "c-di-AMP riboswitch aptamer (ydaO/yuaA leader)". From Rfam's summary of the family: This family represents a conserved RNA structure found upstream of the ydaO and yuaA genes in Bacillus subtilis and related genes in other bacteria. The ydaO/yuaA element is thought to act as a genetic "off" switch for the ydaO and yuaA genes in its native state. Lineage: Bacteria; Bacillati; Cyanobacteriota; Cyanophyceae; Nostocales; Nostocaceae. The record is from RNAcentral.